GGGCUUGUGGUUUAGUGGUAUAAUUCCUCUUUAGCACUGCUAUCCCCGCGGAUGGAAGGACUAGAGGCGGUCCCUGGUUCGAUUCCUGGCAGGUCCA
Molecule: non-coding RNA, 97 nt
Organism: Teratosphaeriaceae sp. CCFEE 6253
Lineage: Eukaryota; Fungi; Ascomycota; Dothideomycetes; Mycosphaerellales; Teratosphaeriaceae
Source: the annotation of a GenBank genome assembly